This 433-nucleotide ribosomal RNA is filed under the name uncultured bacterium. Its description in RNAcentral is "partial 16S ribosomal RNA". It matches the Rfam family "Bacterial small subunit ribosomal RNA", at positions 29 to 507 of the family's 1533-position model. The record is from RNAcentral.
AACGAACGCUGGCGGCAGGCCUAACACAUGCAAGUCGAGCGAGGACUUCGGUCCUAGCGGCGGACGGGUGAGUAACGCGUGGGAACGUGCCCUUUGCUUCGGAAUAGCCCUGGGAAACUGGGAGUAAUACCGGAUGAGCCCUCUGGGGGAAAGAUUUAUCGGCGAAGGAUCGGCCCGCGUUGGAUUAGGUAGUUGGUGGGGUAAUGGCCUACCAAGCCGACGAUCCAUAGCUGGUUGGAGAGGAUGAUCAGCCACACUGGGACUGAGACACGGCCCAGACUCCUACGGGAGGCAGCAGUGGGGAAUCUUAGACAAUGGGGGAAACCCUGAUCGAGCCAUGCCGCGUGAGCGAUGAAGGCCUUAGGGUUGUAAAGCUCUGUCAGCUGGGAAGAUAAUGACGGUACCAGCAGAAGAAGCCCCGGCUAACUCCGUG